AAUUAUUGGGCUUAAAGUGUCCGUAGCCGGUUUAGUAAGUUCCUGGUAAAAUCGGGUAGCUUAACUAUCUGCAUGCUAGGAAUACUGCUAUACUAGAGGGCGGGAGAGGUCUGAGGUACUACAGGGGUAGGGGUGAAAUCUUAUAAUCCUUGUAGGACCACCAGUGGCGAAGGCGUCAGACUGGAACGCGCCUGACGGUGAGGGACGAAAGCCAGGGGAGCGAACCGGAUUAGAUACCCGGGUAGUCCUGGCCGUAAACGAUGCAUACUAGGUGAUGGCACGGCCAUGAGCCAUGUCAGUGCCGUAGGGAAACCGUUAAGUGUGCCGCCUGGGAAGUACGGUCGCAAGGCUAAAACUUAAAGGAAUUGGCGGGGGAGCACCACAAGGGGUGAAGCCUGCGGUUUAAUUGGACUCAACGCCGGGAAACUUACCAGGGGAGACAGUAGUAUGACGGUCAGGUUGACGACCUUACCUAACGAGCUGAGAGGAGGUGCAUGGCCGUCGCCAGUUCGUGCUGUGAGGUAUCCUGUUAAGUCAGGCAACGAACGAGAUCCGCACCUUUAUUUGCCAGCAAGAAGUCACGACUUCGUUGGGAACACUAAAGGGACCGCCGUCGAUAAGACGGAGGAAGGAGCGGGCAAAGGCAGGUCAGUAUGCCCCGAAACCCCUGGGCUACACGCGGGCUGCAAUGGUAUGAACAAUGGGCAGUAACUCCGAAAGGAGAAACCAAUCCCGAAAUCAUAUCUCAGUUGGAAUUGUCGGCUGUAACCCGCUGACAUGAACGUGGAAUCCCUAGUAAUCGU
Molecule: ribosomal RNA, 803 nt
Filed under: uncultured euryarchaeote
Lineage: Archaea; Methanobacteriati; Methanobacteriota
Description: bacterial SSU rRNA
Rfam family: Archaeal small subunit ribosomal RNA
Source: RNAcentral